GUAGUUUGACUCCGUGCACGAGGACGACGCUGGCGGCGUGCUUAACACAUGCAAGUCGAACGGAAAGGCCCUUCGGGGUACUCGAGUGGCGAACGGGUGAGUAACACGUGGGUGAUCUGCCCUGCACUUUGGGAUAAGCCUGGGAAACUGGGUCUAAUACCGAAUAUGAUCAUCGGCUUCAUGGUCGGUGGUGGAAAGCUUUUGCGGUGUGGGAUGGGCCCGCGGCCUAUCAGCUUGUUGGUGGGGUAAUGGCCUACCAAGGCGACGACGGGUAGCCGGCCUGAGAGGGUGACCGGCCACACUGGGACUGAGAUACGGCCCAGACUCCUACGGGAGGCAGCAGUGGGGAAUAUUGCACAAUGGGCGCAAGCCUGAUGCAGCGACGCCGCGUGAGGGAUGACGGCCUUCGGGUUGUAAACCUCUUUUCAGCACAGACGAAGCGCAAGUGACGGUAUGUGCAGAAGAAGGACCGGCCAACUACGUG
This 484-nucleotide ribosomal RNA is filed under the name uncultured Mycobacterium sp. RNAcentral describes it as "bacterial SSU rRNA". It matches the Rfam family "Bacterial small subunit ribosomal RNA", at positions 1 to 507 of the family's 1533-position model. Lineage: Bacteria; Bacillati; Actinomycetota; Actinomycetes; Mycobacteriales; Mycobacteriaceae. The record is from RNAcentral.